GACGAACGCUGGCGGCGUGCCUAAUACAUGCAAGUAGGACGCAGUUGCGAACGGGUGAGUAACGCGUAGGUAACUACCUAUUAGAGGGGGAUAACUAUUGGAAACGAUAGCUAAUACCGCAUACUAGUAGAUGGACCUGCGUUGAAUUAGCUAGUAGGUAGGGUAAUGGCCUACCUAGGCAACGUUCCAUAGCCGACCUGAUAGGGUGAUCGGCCCGACUGGGACCGGGAAACGGCCCAGAUCCCUCCGGGAGGCAGCAGUAGGUAAUCUUAGGCAAUGGGGGGAACGCUGACCGAGCAACGCCGCGGGAGUGAAGAAGGUUUUCGGAUCGUAAAGCUCUGUUGUUAAGGAAGCGGUACUUAACCAGAAAGGGACGGCUAACUACGUGCCAGCCGCCGCGGUAAUAC
RNAcentral lists this ribosomal RNA (407 nucleotides) under uncultured bacterium. Its description in RNAcentral is "partial 16S ribosomal RNA". It matches the Rfam family "Bacterial small subunit ribosomal RNA", at positions 28 to 526 of the family's 1533-position model. The record is from RNAcentral.